GCUCGCUUUCGGAUCGUCUCACUGCUGCUCCCGACUGCACGCAAGGCUUCAGUAUUAGUCAGGAAAGGAGGGAGAACAAGAAGAGCAGAAAAUAACUCAUGAGUCAAGAGACAAUUGAAUAAGGGAAGGACAGAGUGAAAACAAAAAAAAAAGCUUUUUGCUCACACUUGGCCUACUGACUGGUACAAGAGGAGAAAGGAGAACAGAAGAAGAAGAGAGCCUUGAUGCUGUGCAAGCAUCAAAAAAGUAUUGGUGCUUGCCAAUGCUGGGAUAAAGGAGGAAGAAAUGGGGGAACAUUCAGAAUGAUGACAUUUGCCUCCCCAAAAUACACUAUGUGUGGUGAAUCCUGAUUCCCUGGAAUAGCUGAACACCUGCAUGAUGAUGAGAAGCAGUAAAUGAAUUCUUCACUUCAUUCUGCUUGCAUGUACAGUGUUGUCUCUACCUAGUAGACUGUCUUUAUCUCAGUUUGUGAUUUCUCAUACUUUUACCACUAACAUAGUGUUAAAAUGUUAAAAAUAAAUCUACUGUUAAUUAUACAAGAAAAAGUGCAGUUAUGUGAAAGGCAGAUUUUCCACUUCUCUUUGGAAGGUACUUACUGCAGAGAAACAGGAAUCUUGCAGCGUUAUAUCUGCAAUGCUAAAUCUAUAGGAUGUGCCACAGAAUGAGCUACAUUUUCCUGCAGUAAUUCCAACAGUAAUUAAUGAAUAUUGGAAUAUCCAGCCAGA
Long non-coding RNA from Gallus gallus (chicken), 725 nucleotides. RefSeq lists it as uncharacterized. The transcript is spliced from 3 exons. The record is from RefSeq and is a predicted model, not a curated record. NCBI's taxonomy places the organism in Eukaryota, Metazoa, Chordata, Aves, Galliformes, Phasianidae.